This 71-nucleotide transfer RNA is filed under the name Loxodonta africana (African savanna elephant). It matches the Rfam family "tRNA". Rfam says of the family: Transfer RNA (tRNA) molecules are approximately 80 nucleotides in length. Lineage: Eukaryota; Metazoa; Chordata; Mammalia; Proboscidea; Elephantidae. The record is from Rfam by way of RNAcentral.
GAAUUGGUGGUUCAGUGAUAGAAUUCUCACCUUCCAUGCAGGAGACCAGGGUUCAAUUCCCGGUCAAUGCA